RNAcentral lists this small RNA (68 nucleotides) under Hydrocarboniphaga daqingensis. RNAcentral describes it as "Repression of heat shock gene expression (ROSE) element". It matches the Rfam family "Repression of heat shock gene expression (ROSE) element". Lineage: Bacteria; Pseudomonadati; Pseudomonadota; Gammaproteobacteria; Nevskiales; Nevskiaceae. The record is from Rfam by way of RNAcentral.
GUCGGGAUGCCGAGGUCUGGGUCCCGAUCCAACAAACUUUGCUGAUAUUCAGGAGGUUGCACAUGAAC